Molecule: transfer RNA, 73 nt
Filed under: Paracidovorax wautersii
Lineage: Bacteria; Pseudomonadati; Pseudomonadota; Betaproteobacteria; Burkholderiales; Comamonadaceae
Description: Acidovorax wautersii (egg metagenome) tRNA-Ala
Source: RNAcentral
GCGCGCCGUAGGCCACGGCGGCCUCGGCCAGUUGCACCAGCUCGGCCGCCAGUUCCACGCCGGUGGCGCCCGC